UACGGAGGGGGCUAGCGUUGUUCGGAAUUACUGGGCGUAAAGCGCACGUAGGCGGACUGUUAAGUCGGGGGUGAAAUCCUGGAGCUCAACUCCAGAACUGCCUUUGAUACUGGGAAGCUUGAGUCCGGGAGAGGUGAGUGGAACUCCGAGUGUAGAGGUGAAAUUCGUAGAUAUUCGGAAGAACACCAGUGGCGAAGGCGGCUCACUGGCCCGGUACUGACGCUGAGGUGCGAAAGCGUGGGGAGCAAACAGG
Molecule: ribosomal RNA, 253 nt
Filed under: uncultured bacterium
Lineage: Bacteria
Description: partial 16S ribosomal RNA
Rfam family: Bacterial small subunit ribosomal RNA
Source: RNAcentral